Molecule: long non-coding RNA, 1122 nt
Filed under: Monodelphis domestica (gray short-tailed opossum)
Lineage: Eukaryota; Metazoa; Chordata; Mammalia; Didelphimorphia; Didelphidae
Description: lncRNA (ENSMODG00000045229.1)
Source: RNAcentral
UUCUUACUUGAUUUUGCAUCAGUUCCUGUAAGACUUCCCAGGUAUUUCCAAAAGCAUCUUGUAUUUCCUUUAUCAUAAUAGUAUUCCUUCACAAUCAUAUAAGAUAACCUGUUUAGUCAUUCCUCAAUUAAUGAGCAUCUCCUCAGUUUCCUAUUCUUUGCCACCACAAAAAGAGCUGAUAUAAAUAUUUUUCUACAAACAGGUCCUUUUUUGAUUCAUAUUUUCUUGAAUAUUUUUUUCCUUUCUUUCCUUUCCUUUCCUUUUCUUUUCUCUUUUCUUUCUUUUCUUUUCUUUUCUUUUUCUUUCUCCUUCUCAAGAUGGUAAAUAUUUUGAUAUAAGUAAUACCAGUGCUGUUAUAUAAUAAAUAUUGCCAUAUUUCUCAUGCCAUCAAAGAAGAUACACAUUGUACAUAUAGUAAAAAACUCAUAAAGUGAAAAAUGGAAUGCUUUGAUCUGCUUUCAGAUUCCUUUAUAUCCUUUGAUGGCUCUGGAUAAUAUUUUUCACCAUGAGCCCCUUGAUUCUUGACCACUUUUUUCUUUCAGAUGAAUUUUGUUUUUAAACAUUACAAAGCAUCUCAAAAGGUCAAAAGUCAAAACAGAACAAGUAAAGGGGCUCUUCCCCAGGACACAAGAUGGAAGGUAGGCAGUGAGAGGGGAUUCCCACUCUAUAAGAGAGCAAAACUGCAUAAGGAAAGCUCAAGCUGACCACCCUCCCACCAUCUUCCAUGUCAGUCAGAGCCAGGGCUAGGGAAGUCUCCAAAUUCUUGGUGGCUGCCUGAAAGCACCACAAACUCACCCCUGAAGGCUGUGCCAAGCCUGGGCAGUGAGACUUGAGGAAUAGCAGGGAACUUGGUCCUGAGGCAGCAGCAGCUGAGGAAGGUAGCAAAGGGCAAAAGUCUCUGAAGCACACUACACAAAAACCACUACAGAUCUACCUACCUGCCCUCUCUGGAUCCUCUGAUAGGGAAGGAAAGUUAGUCCCAAGGCAUAACCCUGUAAGACAGAAACUAAGACAGCAAUGACCACCAGCAUGCAGGAAGCUCAGUCCUCCAUGGGGAAAAGGAGUAAACAACAUCAAAAGAAAAGCUCUUGACCCUGGAAAAUUUCUUUGAGCAAAAUACAG